CACCGGCGGCCCGAGUGGUGAUCGUGAUUAUUGGGUCUAAAGGGUCCGUAGCCGGUUUGGUCAGUCCUCCGGGAAAUCUGAUAGCUCAACUAUUAGGCUUUCGGGGGUUACUGCCAGACUUGGAACCGGGAGAGGUAAGAGGUACUACAGGGGUAGGAGUGAAAUCUUGUAAUCCCUGUGGGACCACCUGUGGCGAAGGCGUCUUACCAGAACGGGUUCGACGGUGAGGGACGAAGGCUGGGGGCACGAACCGGAUUAGAUACCCGGGUAGUCCCAGCCGUAAACGAUGCUCGCUAGGUGUCAGGCAUGGCGCGACCGUGUCUGGUGCCGCAGGGAAGCCGUGAAGCGAGCCACCUGGGAAGUACGGCCGCAAGGCUGAAACUUAAAGGAAUUGACGG
This 398-nucleotide ribosomal RNA is filed under the name uncultured archaeon. RNAcentral describes it as "bacterial SSU rRNA". It matches the Rfam family "Archaeal small subunit ribosomal RNA", at positions 474 to 871 of the family's 1478-position model. The record is from RNAcentral.